This 253-nucleotide ribosomal RNA is filed under the name Duodenibacillus massiliensis. Its description in RNAcentral is "partial 16S ribosomal RNA". It matches the Rfam family "Bacterial small subunit ribosomal RNA", at positions 524 to 776 of the family's 1533-position model. Lineage: Bacteria; Pseudomonadati; Pseudomonadota; Betaproteobacteria; Burkholderiales; Sutterellaceae. The record is from RNAcentral.
UACGUAGGGUGCAAGCGUUAAUCGGAAUUACUGGGCGUAAAGCGUGCGCAGGCGGUUGGGUAAGACAGAUGUGAAAUCCCCGGGCUUAACCUGGGAACUGCAUUUGUGACUGUCCGACUCGAGUAUGUCAGAGGGGGGUGGAAUUCCAAGUGUAGCAGUGAAAUGCGUAGAUAUUUGGAAGAACACCGAUGGCGAAGGCAGCCCCCUGGGGCAAAACUGACGCUCAUGCACGAAAGCGUGGGGAGCAAACAGG